Molecule: long non-coding RNA, 522 nt
Organism: Daphnia pulicaria
Lineage: Eukaryota; Metazoa; Arthropoda; Branchiopoda; Diplostraca; Daphniidae
Exons: 3
Source: RefSeq, a predicted model, not a curated record
GCCCUUGAUUAUGUAAAGGGCAAUUUGAUUCCAGUCCCUGAUAAAAAUUCCCUUUCAACGGAUCCCAUUCGUAAAAAUUACGAUUUCGUUUUUCAAUCCCACCGCGACGAGAAUUAUUUGAAAAGAGAGUCUUGGUUGACUUCUAUUUGGUUUUUUUCACCCUCAGCCCCACUUGACUCAUGCUGGAGAGCAGCUUCACUCUGCUCUUCAUCAUUUCGGAACUCAAAUUGAGAUCUUUUUUCUAUACACAUAAUGUGUGCUAGAUAAAUUGGAUGCAGGUAUCAUGUCCCGAUCAUUCUCAAUAGAGGGUUCUCACUCACAAGGAGAACGAAUGUUUCGAGGAAAUGCCAUUGGAUGGGGUGUUGUAGUCUCGGCUGUCUGAAUGUCUCAGUGUGUCUGUGUAUUACUGAGUCUGGUCUGGCUGGCCUUGACUUGGGGUUGGAGGAUGAGUGUCCAUCUAGCGGUAGAUAUUACAACAUCUCCCCCUUUCCACAAUAUACGAUCCACAUUACACAGAAUACA